This is an RNA transcript of Manihot esculenta (cassava), 2129 nucleotides long. It is a transcript of the gene named protein XAP5 CIRCADIAN TIMEKEEPER, with no coding region annotated. The record is from RefSeq and is a predicted model, not a curated record. The transcript is spliced from 12 exons. Lineage: Eukaryota; Viridiplantae; Streptophyta; Magnoliopsida; Malpighiales; Euphorbiaceae.
GUCAAAUUCAUCUUGGCGGUUUAAAAGCCUCUGCCUUCGUCGUCUCAUCGAUCAAAUUUAUCGAGCAACAUAACCAAAAACCCGUUUUCAAGGAAGGCGAAACCCGGAAAAGAAAAAUAAGAAAGCGAAGAAUGUCGGGCAUGGGGGACGGAUACGUGGGCACGGCUCAAGAUGCCGUGAGAAUCCGGCGGUUAGAGAAGCAGCGAGAAGCCGAGCGUCGCAAAAUCCAAGAGCUCAAGACCAAGUCCGCCUCCGCCAAGGGUCAGCCUGGUCUCCUCCAGUUCGGGUCAAGUACCUCCGAGAUUCUUGAGACUGCUUUUAAGAAGGAGACUGUGGGUUUGGUUACAAGAGAGCAAUAUGUUGAGAAGAGGGUUAAUAUUCAGAACAAGAUUGAAGAGGAAGAAAAGGAGAAGCUCCAAAAGCUUCGGCAAGAGGAGGAGGAGCUCCAGCUGCAAAAGAGAAAGAAGAGAAAGAUUAAGGGGAAUCCUCGAUUGUCCUUUGCUGAUGAUGUUGAGAAUGGAAGUGAAGAAGAGGAUGCUGAAGACAGUAAGACAGAAAGCUUAGAGUCAAAGAGGUUAGUGCAUGGAAAAUUUGGUAAAGAUCCCACAGUGGAAACAAGCUUCUUGCCUGACAGUGAGCGGGAGGCAGAGGAGCAAGCUGAGCGUGAAAGGUUGCGGAAGCAGUGGCUUCGUGAACAGGAACAGAUUCGAAAUGAGCCCCUUGAAAUUACUUACAGCUACUGGGAUGGAGCAGGCCAUAGGAGAGUGAUCCAGGCGCGCAAAGGUGAUACCAUAGGGGAAUUUCUUCGGGCAGUUCAGCAGCAACUUGCACCUGAGUUUAGAGAAAUCAGAACAACAUCUGUGGAGAAUUUACUUUAUGUGAAGGAAGAUCUCAUCAUUCCCCAUCAACACAGCUUUUAUGAGCUUAUUGUUAACAAGGCUAGGGGCAAAAGUGGUCCGUGUUUUCUUUUGGUGGGGUGGGGCUAACGUUGCACCUUGUUUCAUUGUGGAAAUCAAGAUUUCAUUGUAGAAGGGAAAAGAUUCCAGGAAAAGAAAGAGGAAAGAGUCUGAAAUUUGCCAGUCAGGCCUAGCCUAUUUCUUCAUACCCAUUGAACGGUUUUGGGGAUGGAGGGAGGUUUGAGUGCCCCCCAUCCACCACUAUGGUGGGUGUAUGGUGUAUGUUGCAGUUCUGAUCCUGUUUGUUUUAUUAUUGUUGUUGGAGGUAAUUAUGUAAAUCAUUUAUGAAUCCUGUCUGUAUUAGAUUAGGUAUUAUAAAUAGGGCUCUAAUAUUUCUCCUAGACUCGGUAGUGAAAGAGCAGGUUGCUGUUUUUGGAUAUAGACACACUUUGCAAAUCAUUAAAAUUCUUAUGUUUGUUUUUGUCUCUCUGUAUGCUAAUCUGUGUUAGUUCAUGGUUUUGUUUUUUCACUUAAAACAUGUGAAUGGGACAUUAGAGUUCUGUACUUAUAUCCACUGGUUCCCCCUGCGCCCCCCGGCGCCAAAAAAAAAAAUCCUUCCCCAAUUUUUUUCUUGAAAUACAAAGCUUCUCUUUCUCAGCUUUUUCACUUCGAUGUGCAUGAGGAUGUGCGGACCAUAGCUGAUGCUACAAUAGAGAAGGAUGAGUCCCAUGCUGGUAAAGUUGUCGAGAGGCACUGGUAUGAGAAGAACAAACACAUUUUUCCUGCUUCAAGAUGGGAGAUAUAUGACCCAUCAAAGAAGUGGGAGCGUUACACCAUCCAUGGGGAUUGAGCUAGCAGCUGGAUUUGUUUUGUCAUUUUAUCCACAACUACCUGGGAAGUUCAUUCCAACAACACUAUAGGCAGUGUUGUAGUGGUAUUUGAUAAUGCGACUGCAAUUUUUCACUGAACAGAUAUUGAAGUAUUUAAGUGCAAUUUGGUGGUGGAUGGAGUUGUAAUGAUUAGUCACUAGUCUUGAAUCUUGAGCUUCGAUUUUGAAUUUUGGGUCAGAAAAUAAUACGCCUUUACUGCUGCCUGUAUCAGCGUAAUUAAUUAGCAGGGAUAUAAUCGACGUUCUCUCUAAUCUUGUAUGUCAUGAAUUGGAUCACAUAGUUGAUGGUUGGAGAAUACUUGUGCUUGAGAGUGAAAUAAAUGUUUGAAGAAAGUUAAUUUGUA